Long non-coding RNA from Phragmites australis (common reed), 1753 nucleotides. RefSeq lists it as uncharacterized. NCBI's taxonomy places the organism in Eukaryota, Viridiplantae, Streptophyta, Magnoliopsida, Poales, Poaceae. The transcript has 3 exons. The record is from RefSeq and is a predicted model, not a curated record.
UCCUGUUUCCGGAUUAUUCAAACGUGCCUUUUUUUCUCUGGAGGCAUUGUGCAUCAUUAGAGCUUGGCCGCUUCUGGGAAUCGCUUCACGGCUAUCAGUCACCUUUCAGUUGGCAUUGUGCAUUGGCCCAAGAAGAAGAUACUGCAUCUUCUGGAGGAGGCUCUUUUUUCUGUUGGAGUAAUCCAUAGCUUGUCACUUUUCAGCUAGGAUACCUGCAGCUUCAAUUCGUCGAUCUUGCAAGAAGGCUCAGCAACAAGGGUGUACUGCGACUGGCUUCCCUCGGCGUGUCAUCAUGCAUGUGAGAUGGUGAUGAUCACCGUCGUCCUCGCCGUCACCUCGCUCCCCGCUGCAUCUGUCCGUCGCUGCACCGCCGGCCAUGAUUGCGCCGGACGGGAUGGAAGAAAAGCCGGAGUUGAAGGUGCAGAGCCGAACAUGGGACUAGAGACUAGCUCCUGGCCUCGUGGUUGCAUUGUCGUGCGCAUUGAGAUUUGGUCACCAUGGAAUGGAAGAUCUUGUUUGUUCAAAACGGCAGGGCGUCCAACGGGCAAGGAAGGACAGGUUCCAUUAGGGAGGAGGAGAGAGAAGCCUGCGUCGCACAGGCUGUUCGACAUGGCUAAAACACAUGGGGGCGUGGCCCGUAUCAUUUGACCCCCUCUCCCUCUGUUGCUCCUCUGGUUGCUCUUCUGCCCGAGCACAUGUUUACCUGACUGAUCAUUACGAUUUGAACGUUAUUAGGCGGCGUCGUAGGGAACGGAGAAGGUAAUUAUUGGAGGGGUAAUGUAUGUAAAGUGGUGGCGAGUGAGCCUGCAUGGCAUUGCCACUUCUCCAUGACUCCAUGUCCUUGCUGUCUUCUUUUUCUCCGGUGUCAGUCAGUCAGUACUGCUUGGCUGGCCGGUUGGAGUUGUAGUAGUUGUUGUUAAAGUGGUGGUGGUGGUACGACUACUACUGCAGGAAUAGGUGUAUUCUGCCUUUUUCCCAGUGGCUUUUGCAACUUGGUAGGUACUAUAUUUUGUACACAUCUCAUGUAGUACCUAGUUGGGAAUAUGAUGCUUUGAGAGGGUUAAGCAAGCUUGUGUUGUGUUGUUAUUCCUCUCUCUCUCUCUCAUUGGGUCCUACUUAGCUGCCCCUCUUUCCUCAUCUUAGACUGAUGAUUCAGCUUCCAGCACAAUGAAAUCAAGGUACUAGCUCUUAUUCGCUUUUGCUCUCUGGUCAAUACAUGAAUGAGUAUUGGACCCUAGCUUGCUGCAAGUGUAGACAAGAAAAGUGUGUACAAUGCCUGUCAAGGAACGAGACCCACAGGCACAGGGGAGUAAAGCAGUAUGACCAGCAAGGCUUGUAUGAUCGAAGCAAUGAACCCUCCCCUGUUUUGAGGUGUUCUUGGGGAAGGAUGUUGGCCAAAGACACACGUGUCAUUUUGAUUCCUCUGCCAAAUCGUAAUCAGACGGAAUAAGCUGGGAUGAGGAUGGCGCCAUAUUGUGAAGAGGCUCGAUCUGUUUCUUUUAGGGAUAGACGUGGAGCGAACUAUUGAUCUAUUUUAAUUUAAUUAACUAGCUAGUUAUUUUGAUUAGAUCAAAAUAAGUAAUUAGUUAAUUAAGUUAUACUAUGAUGAAUUUAUAGAUAUAUAUUGGUGCUCCCCAUCUAUCUCUAAUGCCGGUGCAAAACGUUCUUGCCACGAAAGGGGGGAACACCUGAGAGGGAUGGAUGCCUCUCGUUUUCCUGAGGCUGAGCUUUCUCUCGCAGGGAUUGAGGCAUU